RNAcentral lists this ribosomal RNA (47 nucleotides) under Anopheles cf. dthali 'Bluchistan'. RNAcentral's name for it is "partial 28S ribosomal RNA sequence". The record is from RNAcentral. Lineage: Eukaryota; Metazoa; Arthropoda; Insecta; Diptera; Culicidae.
UAUGUAGCCUCAAGUGAUGUGAGACUACCCCCUAAAUUUAAGCAUAA